This 600-nucleotide ribosomal RNA is filed under the name uncultured actinomycete. RNAcentral's name for it is "bacterial SSU rRNA". It matches the Rfam family "Bacterial small subunit ribosomal RNA", at positions 252 to 866 of the family's 1533-position model. Lineage: Bacteria; Bacillati; Actinomycetota; Actinomycetes; Actinomycetales. The record is from RNAcentral.
GAGAGGUAACGGCUCACCAAGGCAUCGACGGGUAGCUGGUCUGAGAGGAUGAUCAGCCACACUGGGACUGAGACACGGCCCAGACCCCUACGGGAGGCAGCAGUAAGGAAUCUUGCACAAUGGGCGAAAGCCUGAUGCAGCAACGCCGCGUGCGGGAAGACGGCCCUAGGGUUGUAAACCGCUUUCAGCAGGGAAGAAAAUGACGGUACCUGCAGAAGAAGGUGCGGCCAACUACGUGCCAGCAGCCGCGGUGACACGUAGGCACCAAGCGUUAUCCGGAUUUAUUGGGCGUAAAGAGCUCGUAGGCGGUUCGGUAAGUCGGGUGUGAAAACUCUGGGCUCAACCCAGAGAGGCCACUCGAUACUGCUGUGACUAGAGUGCGGUAGGGGAGCGGGGAAUUUCUGGUGUAGCGGUGAAAUGCGCAGAUAUCAGAAGGAACACCAGUGGCGAAGGCGCCGCUCUGGGCCGUAACUGACGCUGAGGAGCGAAAGCAUGGGUAGCAAACAGAAUUAGAUACCCUGGUAGUCCAUGCCGUAAACGUUGGGCACUAGGUGUGGGUCUCAACCAACGAGAUCCGCGCCGUCGCUAACGCAUUAAGUG